GGACGAACGCUGGCGGCGUGCCUAAUACAUGCAAGUCGAGCGGACCGACGGGAGCUUGCUCCCUUAGGUCAGCGGCGGACGGGUGAGUAACACGUGGGUAACCUGCCUGUAAGACUGGGAUAACUCCGGGAAACCGGGGCUAAUACCGGAUGCUUGAUUGAACCGCAUGGUUCCAAUCAUAAAAGGUGGCUUUUAGCUACCACUUACAGAUGGACCCGCGGCGCAUUAGCUAGUUGGUGAGGUAACGGCUCACCAAGGCGACGAUGCGUAGCCGACCUGAGAGGGUGAUCGGCCACACUGGGACUGAGACACGGCCCAGACUCCUACGGGAGGCAGCAGUAGGGAAUCUUCCGCAAUGGACGAAAGUCUGACGGAGCAACGCCGCGUGAGUGAUGAAGGUUUUCGGAUCGUAAAACUCUGUUGUUAGGGAAGAACAAGUACCGUUCGAAUAGGGCGGUACCUUGACGGUACCUAACCAGAAAGCCACGGCUAACUACGUGCCAGCAGCCGCGGUAAUACGUAGGUGGCAAGCGUUGUCCGGAAUUAUUGGGCGUAAAGCGCGCGCAGGCGGUUUCUUAAGUCUGAUGUGAAAGCCCCCGGCUCAACCGGGGAGGGUCAUUGGAAACUGGGGAACUUGAGUGCAGAAGAGGAGAGUGGAAUUCCACGUGUAGCGGUGAAAUGCGUAGAGAUGUGGAGGAACACCAGUGGCGAAGGCGACUCUCUGGUCUGUAACUGACGCUGAGGCGCGAAAGCGUGGGGAGCGAACAGGAUUAGAUACCCUGGUAGUCCACGCCGUAAACGAUGAGUGCUAAGUGUUAGAGGAUUUCCGCCCUUUAGUGCUGCAGCAAACGCAUUAAGCACUCCGCCUGGGGAGUACGGUCGCAAGACUGAAACUCAAAGGAAUUGACGGGGGCCCGCACAAGCGGUGGAGCAUGUGGUUUAAUUCGAAGCAACGCGAAGAACCUUACCAGGUCUUGACAUCCUCUGACAACCCUAGAGAUAGGGCUUCCCCUUCGGGGGCAGAGUGACAGGUGGUGCAUGGUUGUCGUCAGCUCGUGUCGUGAGAUGUUGGGUUAAGUCCCGCAACGAGCGCAACCCUUGAUCUUAGUUGCCAGCAUUCAGUUGGGCACUCUAAGGUGACUGCCGGUGACAAACCGGAGGAAGGUGGGGAUGACGUCAAAUCAUCAUGCCCCUUAUGACCUGGGCUACACACGUGCUACAAUGGGCAGAACAAAGGGCAGCGAUGCCGCGAGGCUAAGCCAAUCCCACAAAUCUGUUCUCAGUUCGGAUCGCAGUCUGCAACUCGACUGCGUGAAGCUGGAAUCGCUAGUAAUCGCGGAUCAGCAUGCCGCGGUGGAUACGUUCCCGGGCCUUG
Molecule: ribosomal RNA, 1375 nt
Filed under: Bacillus licheniformis
Lineage: Bacteria; Bacillati; Bacillota; Bacilli; Caryophanales; Bacillaceae
Description: bacterial SSU rRNA
Rfam family: Bacterial small subunit ribosomal RNA
Source: RNAcentral